RNAcentral lists this ribosomal RNA (432 nucleotides) under uncultured bacterium. RNAcentral's name for it is "partial 16S ribosomal RNA". It matches the Rfam family "Bacterial small subunit ribosomal RNA", at positions 29 to 507 of the family's 1533-position model. The record is from RNAcentral.
ACGAACGCUGGCGGCAUGCCUAACACAUGCAAGUCGAACGAGACCUUCGGGUCUAGUGGCGCACGGGUGCGUAACGCGUGGGAACCUGCCCUUAGGUUCGGAAUAACUCCCCGAAAGGGGUGCUAAUACCGGAUAAUGUCUUCGGACCAAAGAUUUAUCGCCUUUGGAUGGGCCCGCGUUGGAUUAGCUAGUUGGUAGGGUAAAAGCCUACCAAGGCGACGAUCCAUAGCUGGUCUGAGAGGAUGAUCAGCCACACUGGGACUGAGACACGGCCCAGACUCCUACGGGAGGCAGCAGUGGGGAAUAUUGGACAAUGGGCGAAAGCCUGAUCCAGUAAUGCCGCGUGAGUGAUGAAGGCCUUAGGGUUGUAAAGCUCUUUUACCCGGGAUGAUAAUGACAGUACCGGGAGAAUAAGCUCCGGCUAACUCCGUG